RNAcentral lists this microRNA precursor (207 nucleotides) under Oryza sativa Indica Group (long-grained rice). Its description in RNAcentral is "MIR812 microRNA precursor family". It matches the Rfam family "MIR812 microRNA precursor family". Lineage: Eukaryota; Viridiplantae; Streptophyta; Magnoliopsida; Poales; Poaceae. The record is from Rfam by way of RNAcentral.
AAAAAAACAAACCCUAGGUUUCUGUGUCCAAUGUUUGACUAUCCGUUUUAUAUGAAAUUUUUUAUAAUUAGUAUUUUCAUUGUUGUUAGAUGAUAAAACAUGAUUAGUACUUUAUGCGUGACUUGUCUUUUUAAAAUUUUUUCAUAUUUUUUUCAAAUAAGACGGACGGUCAAACGUUGGACACGGAAACCAGAGUUUGUCUUUUUU